CCUGUGGAUCGUCAUACAAGCGAAAGUAGUCUAAAGACGAAUGCGUCUUUGACAAAAUCGGACGGGAUGAAGCAGGAA
Molecule: non-coding RNA, 78 nt
Submitted as: unclassified sequences
Source: Rfam